RNAcentral lists this ribosomal RNA (434 nucleotides) under Streptococcus sanguinis. Its description in RNAcentral is "bacterial SSU rRNA". It matches the Rfam family "Bacterial small subunit ribosomal RNA", at positions 28 to 452 of the family's 1533-position model. Lineage: Bacteria; Bacillati; Bacillota; Bacilli; Lactobacillales; Streptococcaceae. The record is from RNAcentral.
GACGAACGCUGGCGGCGUGCCUAAUACAUGCAAGUAGAACGCUGAAGAGAGGAGCUUGCUCUUCUUGGAUGAGUUGCGAACGGGUGAGUAACGCGUAGGUAACCUACCUGGUAGCGGGGGAUAACUAUUGGAAACGAUAGCUAAUACCGCAUGACAUUGAUUAUCGCAUGAUAAUUAAUUGAAAGAUGCAACUGCAUCACUACCAGAUGGACCUGCGUUGUAUUAGCUAGUUGGUGAGGUAACGGCUCACCAAGGCGACGAUACAUAGCCGACCUGAGAGGGUGAUCGGCCACACUGGGACUGAGACACGGCCCAGACUCCUACGGGAGGCAGCAGUAGGGAAUCUUCGGCAAUGGGGGGAACCCUGACCGAGCAACGCCGCGUGAGUGAAGAAGGUUUUCGGAUCGUAAAGCUCUGUUGUAAGAGAAGAACGG